CCGAUUCACUCUCACUUAUCUCAUGAUUCUUGUUUUCUAUACCCUACAACUUUGCAUGUUUUACACCUUUGUAUGAUGGUUGUUCUUUCUUUCUUAUUCUGAAUCAUUGCUGAAAAAUCACUGAUGGUUAUCAUACACAUUAAUUUGACGUGAAGCUUACCUGAAGAGCUGAGGCUUUGGCGCAAAGCAAGAGUGCCAUAGAAAAAGAACUCAAGUGGCAAUUGGAAUCUUUCAUGAUUGGAACUACUAAACAUUUUGAAUUUCAAGAAUCAGAGG
Magnolia sinica is the source of this 276-nucleotide long non-coding RNA. RefSeq lists it as uncharacterized. The record is from RefSeq and is a predicted model, not a curated record. The transcript is spliced from 2 exons. NCBI's taxonomy places the organism in Eukaryota, Viridiplantae, Streptophyta, Magnoliopsida, Magnoliales, Magnoliaceae.